Molecule: small RNA, 455 nt
Filed under: Caenorhabditis elegans
Lineage: Eukaryota; Metazoa; Nematoda; Chromadorea; Rhabditida; Rhabditidae
Description: Unclassified non-coding RNA C23G10.14b
Source: RNAcentral
GUACUAUGAAUGAACAUUCUUCGUCAUCCUCUUUCUCACUGCUUCGUCAAUCUUUACUAUCAGUGGAUUUGAAAAAUGCCGUGGAACUUUCUCUGAGCUCCAAACAUUUUCACGAUCAUAUAAAAGAGCUAUUCAAAGAUCGUGUUUCUUUGUCCGUUCAUAUGGAUGAAAUGGAUAAAUUCAUAAGAUUGCCCCGAAAGGAUCAAGAAGAUGUUAGAGAGGAUAUUUAUACUGUUGAAAAUGGAUUUAGAAGAUCCGAGUUUUGAAGAAAGAAAUCCUGAGACGUUGAUCAAACUGACCAUCGGAGAUGUUGCUGUAUCUACCUUUGGAAUUACGAGCACCUAUUGGGAAAAUGAAAUGGAAGGAGUUUCGAAGAUGACAGAUUAUCUUUUGUAAUUGUUUGGAGGCCCAAUUGAAGAAAUGUCAAUUACAGAGAUAAAUUUUGAUGAUGAGUA